CACACUAGCAGAGUAGCACACACAGCAUGCACUCUCACUGUAUGCAUUUGUCUUGUGUGUGUGUGUGUGUGUGUGUGUGAGAGAGAGGUGUUCCUGUGUGGAGAGAGACUCCUCAGAAACCUCUUACUCAGCAAAGUCGCUGCAUCCCCCCCCCCGCCGGCCCCAUCUCAUCCAAUCAACAUUUAUCCCCUGGUUCUCUCACUUCAAUCAAUUUUUCACUCUCUCUGUCUCAUCCACCAACUCCGUCUCCCUCCCCUCACUCCCCCGUGGAUCCACCGGGUACGCUCCACUUUCAAAGACAGAGAGUCAUGUGACCAGAACUGGAUCGAUACGAGUGCAUCUUUUGCCAUGCACUGUAUAAUGAGACUUACAUAACCUGCUUACACACAGCCGUCACAGUCUGUCAUUCUAGCUGUUCGUAGCACAAAUUCUGCCUCGAUUUGAAAAAAUCUCGACUUCAGUCAGGAGAACGGAGGAGCUUGAGACUUCCAGCAGCACAUGAUGGAUUGGCACGUACCAGGCAGUAAUUUGAUCACUUACUACAGUACAGGGGACCUUGUUUGCUGCCAUAAACACUUUGUAUCAGCUUGAAUGCUUUUACUGUUGUUGCCUUAGCGCUAUGCAUCAGGUCAUGUGUAUCCUUUGGCUCUAAAUUGUUGCUCUAAUGCACAACCAAAGAGCCUCUCUUUCAACACAUUAUCCAUUUUUUCUCUUUUACCCAGUAGGUUUAUCUCAACCUCACUUGCCGUAACUGACACAGAUAUAGGUCUAAUCUGUGGAACAAACAGUAUGCAGGAGUUUGAAUAUUAAGCAUGUUAAAUCCAUAUUAUGUAAUCUUUGUAUCUUAUAUCCUUGAAAUCUGCGGAAUAAAGCAUUUUCUCUCCCUGCUCACCAGAAAGGAAUUAUUACAUUUUAAAAGAAUGUCUGGAUAUUAUAACAAAGCCUGCUAUUCACAGAGUCUGCUAUGACUGUAUUGCUGUAAAUGGCUGGGUGCAGCUCUGAGUCCAAAUAUUCAAAAAUACUCCAGUGUUUUAUAGUAUUGAGUGUGGAUAUUUUGUUGAGUUUAAAAAGAUUGUUGAUUAAUUAUUUAGUCUAGCAAUGUUAAAAUAAUGACACUCAUUAUAAAUUACCAAAGCACAGAGUAAUGGUUUAUUAUUGUUUUGCAUAUCAGAACAGCAGCCAAGAUAAAUCCUAAAACUAUUUUAUAGCCAUGCCAGUGGUUCAGUCCACCACUUUGGUCCCGACUGAAAUAGCUCAGCUACUACUGGAUGAACUGCCACAAACUUAUAUACAGACUUUUAUGAUCCCCAGACCAUGAACCAUGCUAACCUUGGUGAUCCCCUGAUCCCCUGGUGAUUUUUUUAAAACUUUUUUUGUGAAAUGUCUCAGCUAGAAUCAGAUGGGUAGUAGAUAUUUUCUACAAACACUCAUUCAUUGCCCCCAGUGGAUGAACCACACUGACUGAUGAGUAGCACCACCAUGAGACAUUUUGAAAUUUCUGUUUAAGUUUUUUAGUGAAAUGUCUGAGCAAUGAUUGGAUGGCUUGCCAUGGUACUACUAUUCAUGAUUCCCAGGGGAAUUAAUCCUAAAGGUGGUCCCCUGACUCUUAUUGUGACCCCUCCCCCAGCAGUUUUCACCUAUCCUAUCAACAGCUACCAGAUUCAUUGUCAUACAAAAAAAGAAGACGAUGAAUUCCUGGAUGAUGAAUCAUAAUAACUUUGAUGAUCCCUUAAAAUGUCAUCAUCAGGUCAAAUUUAAAUUUGUCCAGCACUUUGGUUUAUGACCAAACACCUGCAAAGAGUGUUUAGUGCUAACAGGCCAAACUAAAAUGAACAACAAGGUAAAUAUUUCACGUGCUAAACAUCAGCAUCUUAGCAUUGUCACUGCGACCAUGUCAGCAUGCUGACGUUAACAUUUAGCUCAAAGCACCACUGUGCUCACAGAACAGCCUCAAACUUUGUGUGAGUAUGAGUGUCCAUUUUCUUUGUGUUGAGUAUGUGUGUGAAACAGAAAUACAAUAAACAUGUCUUUGCUUUGGCGUAUUAUAAA
Long non-coding RNA from Dicentrarchus labrax (European seabass), 2049 nucleotides. RefSeq lists it as uncharacterized. The transcript has 2 exons. Lineage: Eukaryota; Metazoa; Chordata; Actinopteri; Moronidae. The record is from RefSeq and is a predicted model, not a curated record.